Myotis lucifugus (little brown bat) is the source of this 74-nucleotide non-coding RNA. The record is from Rfam. Lineage: Eukaryota; Metazoa; Chordata; Mammalia; Chiroptera; Vespertilionidae.
GCCGGUUUGGCUCAGUGGGUAGAGCAUCAGCCUGCGGAACUGAAGAGUCCCGGGUUCUAUUCCAGUCAAGGGCA